RNAcentral lists this ribosomal RNA (253 nucleotides) under uncultured bacterium. RNAcentral's name for it is "partial 16S ribosomal RNA". It matches the Rfam family "Bacterial small subunit ribosomal RNA", at positions 524 to 776 of the family's 1533-position model. The record is from RNAcentral.
UACGAAGGGGGCUAGCGUUGUUCGGAGUUACUGGGCGUAAAGAGUGCGUAGGCGGUUUUCUAAGUUUGGUGUGAAAUCUCCCGGCUCAACUGGGAGGGUGCGCCGAAGACUGGAAGGCUUGAGUAUGGGAGAGGUAAGCGGAAUUCCUGGUGUAGCGGUGAAAUGCGCAGAUAUCAGGAGGAACACCGAUGGCGAAGGCAGGUCUCUGGGCCAUAACUGACGCUGAGAAGCGAAAGCAUGGGGAGCGAACAGG